Molecule: ribosomal RNA, 253 nt
Filed under: uncultured bacterium
Lineage: Bacteria
Description: partial 16S ribosomal RNA
Rfam family: Bacterial small subunit ribosomal RNA
Source: RNAcentral
UACGAAGGGGGCUAGCGUUGCUCGGAAUGACUGGGCGUAAAGGGCUCGUAGGCGGUUUGUCGCGUCGGGAGUGAAAAUCCAGGGCUUAACUCUGGACUGGCUUCCGAUACGGGCAGACUAGAGGUAUGCAGGGGAGAACGGAAUUCCUGGUGUAGCGGUGAAAUGCGCAGAUAUCAGGAGGAACACCGGUGGCGAAGGCGGAUCUCUGGGCCAUUACUGACGCUGAGGAGCGAAAGCGUGGGGAGCGAACAGG